This is a long non-coding RNA of Cyprinus carpio (common carp), 857 nucleotides long. The record is from Ensembl. Lineage: Eukaryota; Metazoa; Chordata; Actinopteri; Cypriniformes; Cyprinidae.
AAUAAUAAAUUGUUUAAGAAAAAAUCAAUGCAAUUAUAAAAUACUGAUUAUUUAUAAAUAUUGAUCAGUAACAGAUAAAAUGGAAUGUUAAAAAUAAUAUAAUGAAAUGUAAUGACAUAAAAAAUCUGAUAUAUAUAUAUAUAUAUAUAUAUAUAUAUAUAAUAAAAAAUUCAAUGAAACAAUGAAAUAAUAAUUUUAGCAUAAUUAUUAAAAUAUGUAAUAAUUAAUAUAAAAUACAAAAUAUGUCAUUGUAUUAAGACCACUAUAAGUAAAGCAGAAUGAAAAUAAAUGCAAAAAAAUAAAAAAUCAAAUGACAAACUAGUGACUGUAUAAGCCACGAUGCUGUGAAGUCGUGUCAUGACUCGCUCCGUGUUUCAGGUCAGCAAGUGACUCUUUCACAGCGCGCGCUCUGAUUAAUGACUGGGAACUGUCCUAAGUGCGCUUUUACUCCUCCAGACUGCGAAAGACCCUCUGAACUCCCUGCUGGAAACGCAAAUCCCCGCAGCGCGUGUGUAUGAGCGGAUCUCACGCAAAUGACGCACGGCUGCGUGACGGCGACAGAAAUGUGCGCAAACUCUACAGACUGCGUGGGUGUCCUGCUCCUUCUGCUCCAGCUGCAGUUCAGUCAGACCAAACCCAUCGACUUCAUCUGUGACCCAGAGGUGAGGAGACGCAUGGAUGUGACGGAGACGCUGGAGCCGCUCAUGACGCACUGCUUGGACCAGCUGCCCUCGGACGUCCUGCAGCCGUGUGUCCGGAUAAACAUGGGAGCGUGGAAACAGACAUCAGUGAGUACAGCUCCUUCAUCUAACAAGAAAAAUCAAACCAGAAGAAAAACAUUGACUGAAAUAAAGUAA